ACAGCUCUGAAAUUUACUAUGCAGAAAAAAAUGCUACUUUCCCUUUAUUUUUUUUAGUAGUUUACGUUUAACACAAUACUGUAUCUGCCAUUUCUUUUUGGUCUCUGCUGCUGCCUGAUUGCACGCUUCUGGUUCCAAACGAGGUGUGGGGUUGACCGGUCAGUGUAUAACUCUGGUGUUCAUAACUCUGAGGUUCUACUGCCUGAGUGCAGAUGGAUGCUGUGUUCAUCACUCCCUCAGGGAAGGAGGGAUCCGCCUGUGGAGAAGGCAUCAACUGAGAGAUCUGGGGUCUAAUGAAGCUUGGCCACAGACAUCUUGUACGAUGUCAGGCGAGUCACUGUGCCUCUCUUUACAGUGGGGUUAUAAAGGACACGCAUCUAGAAUAGCAAGCAACUGGCCCAGGGGGUGACAAUCCCAAAAGUUUAUGAGGAGGAAGAGCUCAGAUGCCGUAGAGACGGGAGUGGAGUAAGACCAUACGCGGAUAAAAGCAGACUGGGAUCUGUUCCAGAAGAGUCGAAAAGCAGGUGAACAUUCCAAUCCCUGCUCCAAAACAGACCAUCAGGAUGAUGUAUGGUUUAUUUCUCAGAAGCUGCAAAGUUCAAAAUGUAGGUUUAAAAAAAUAGGUUCCAGUUACUUGGGCAACAAAUCUCAGCACCUGCCCACCUGCUGGCCUGCCCACAACAACAGGAUAGCUGAAGGUGACAAUGACACCAUGGAAGCCAGGCAGCAUGUACACUUGCUCCUGCCUCAGCAUAGAGGGCUGGACAUGGUGACCUCUCAAGGUCAUGUCCUGCCCUACAGUUCUAGGAUGCUAUGUUUGAUUCCGGGGCUUACUUCUCUGCAUGACACUUACCAUUUUCAAGCCUGUGAAAAAUGGCUGCGAGGUGGAAUAAGUGGCGCUUGCUGAUGGUGGAGUUGGAGGGACCUUGUCGUGAACACCAACCAUGGCUAGGAUGCAGGCUGUGACUGCAGGGAUGACGUACAGUCCAAGCUAGGAAACCCAAAGCAAAGACACGUAACCAGGUUGCCUGACUCCAGUGCUACUGAAUAUAUAAACCAAAAUGACACUGCAUACUAA
Molecule: long non-coding RNA, 1078 nt
Organism: Chelonia mydas (Green sea turtle)
Lineage: Eukaryota; Metazoa; Chordata; Testudines; Cheloniidae
Exons: 3
Source: RefSeq, a predicted model, not a curated record